Molecule: non-coding RNA, 87 nt
Submitted as: unclassified sequences
Source: Rfam
AUAUGGUAAGCAACAGUUCAGUACUGUUUCGGGAUGGCUUAUCAGAAACUCAUCAGCGGUUUUCUUUCCCUUAUCCGUUUGAGUGGU